This 417-nucleotide ribosomal RNA is filed under the name Levilactobacillus brevis. Its description in RNAcentral is "bacterial SSU rRNA". It matches the Rfam family "Bacterial small subunit ribosomal RNA", at positions 130 to 533 of the family's 1533-position model. The record is from RNAcentral. Lineage: Bacteria; Bacillati; Bacillota; Bacilli; Lactobacillales; Lactobacillaceae.
CCAGAAGCAGGGGAUAACACUUGGAAACAGGUGCUAAUACCGUAUAACAACAAAAUCCGCAUGGAUUUUGUUUGAAAGGUGGCUUCGGCUAUCACUUCUGGAUGAUCCCGCGGCGUAUUAGUUAGUUGGUGAGGUAAAGGCCCACCAAGACGAUGAUACGUAGCCGACCUGAGAGGGUAAUCGGCCACAUUGGGACUGAGACACGGCCCAAACUCCUACGGGAGGCAGCAGUAGGGAAUCUUCCACAAUGGACGAAAGUCUGAUGGAGCAAUGCCGCGUGAGUGAAGAAGGGUUUCGGCUCGUAAAACUCUGUUGUUAAAGAAGAACACCUUUGAGAGUAACUGUUCAAGGGUUGACGGUAUUUAACCAGAAAGCCACGGCUAACUACGUGCCAGCAGCCGCGGUAAUACGUAGGUG